UACGUAGGGUGCGAGCGUUAAUCGGAAUUACUGGGCGUAAAGCGUGCGCAGGCGGUUUUGUAAGCCAGAUGUGAAAUCCCCGGGCUUAACCUGAGAAUGGCAUUUGGGACUGCAAGGCUCGAGUGCGGCAGAGGAGACUGGAAUUCCUGGUGUAGCAGUGAAAUGCGUAGAUAUCAGGAGGAACACCGAUGGCGAAGGCAGGUCUCUGGGCUGACACUGACGCUCAUGCACGAAAGCGUGGGGAGCAAACAGG
This 253-nucleotide ribosomal RNA is filed under the name uncultured bacterium. RNAcentral's name for it is "partial 16S ribosomal RNA". It matches the Rfam family "Bacterial small subunit ribosomal RNA", at positions 524 to 776 of the family's 1533-position model. The record is from RNAcentral.